AUUGAACGCUGGCGGCGUGCCUAACACAUGCAAGUCGAGCGGUAACAGGUGUAGCAAUACAUGCUGACGAGCGGCGAACGGGUGAGUAAUGCUUCGGAAUCUACCCAAUGGUGGGGAAUAACCAGCCGAAAGGUUGGCUAAUACCGCAUACGUCCCACGGGAGAAAGCAGGGGAUCGCAAGACCUUGCGCCAAUGGAUGAGCCGAAGUCGGAUUAGCUAGNGGUAGGGUAACGGCCUACCAAGGCGACGAUCCGUAGCUGGUCUGAGAGGACGACCAGCCACACUGGGACUGAGACACGGCCCAGACUCCUACGGGAGGCAGCAGUGGGGAAUAUUGGACAAUGGGGGAAACCCUGAUCCAGCGACGCCGCGUGUGCGAAGAAGG
Molecule: ribosomal RNA, 385 nt
Filed under: uncultured bacterium
Lineage: Bacteria
Description: bacterial SSU rRNA
Rfam family: Bacterial small subunit ribosomal RNA
Source: RNAcentral